Molecule: long non-coding RNA, 5882 nt
Filed under: Xyrichtys novacula (pearly razorfish)
Lineage: Eukaryota; Metazoa; Chordata; Actinopteri; Labriformes; Labridae
Source: RNAcentral
GUGACCUGCUGUGGUGACACUCAAUAACACAAAAUCCAUACAGAUGCAUUUGGGGUUUGAGAGUGGCAGUGUUGCAAAAACAGAGCUGACAACCCCAAUUACAGACCAAGAGAUCUCCUCUGUUUUAGAGCUCUGGUCUCUGAGAGCCCAAACAAGAAAAACAUAUCUUCCUAGAGCCUCUUAAACAUCCUUAAUAUUGGCUUAGACUAAAUCUUUUAAACCUAAGAAAGGUAGAUAACAUUAUAGAGAUAAUAUUUUAGUGGUAAAAGAAAAGAAAAAAAUGCUGGCUGGCCUGAUUUGCUUUCCUGUGUUUAUACAAAACUAGAUAUUGACUGGACAUAGUCAGACUGUGAUUUUUUACAGGUAACUCCGGCGUGUGAGGACGUUUUUGUCACACAAAAGAAAAAAGGUGAUGUUAUUUAUACUGAUGCUGCAGUAACUGCAACUGGCCAUUAGGUGGCAAUGCUUUUCUUUCUUGAGCACUGGCAAGAUUUGGGGUUUUCUACAUUGUUUAGGUUAGUGUGUGUGUGUGUGUGUGUGUGUGUGUGUCGUCAUCCAUACAUUAACAGGCAUGCAGACCAAUCCAAUAGCUUUGUGCCUAUACACUGAGACAACAAAGAGACUGUGGUAAAGAGACCCUGUAAUGGCAGCAAUGAUGGGAACGAGGUCAGUCAGGUUCAUCGAUGAUACUCCAAAUAAAAACGUGGAACAAAAAUAAGAAAUUGGUUGUUUUUUUAUGAAUACAAUUAAGAAUUAUACAUUAUAGGCCAACAGUGUAUUGUGUUAUUCUACUCUCAGCCUUCUUAAUACAAUUAUGUGCUGUGAUUCAGUUAGGGUUACACUCUCUAUGCUAAUAGAUCCCUCUGGUGAGCUCACUGGUAUUUUAUGGUCACCUAUUGAUUGUGUGAUUAGCGGCCCAGCAGAGCCCACCUACUUCAUGUCCAGUUGAGAGUAAUGGUUAUUGAGUGAGUUGUCAAUGGUAAAGAAGGACAUUGACCAAAGGAGCACAGUGGAGGUGGUGGUGCUGGUGGAAGGGGGGCUGAGGUACUGACCUUCACCUCGCCUCUAUUCCUGCCCACUAAUUUGAUAAGACAAACCAGGAACCACGCUGACCUCCACCUGUGACCCCAGCAUGCACCCAUUUCUCCGCCCUAACCUGACUCUUUAUCACAUGAGGCCAGGAAGUGCAUCCUGUGUUUCAGCCCUGGAGAAGGUCCGUCCAUUAGGUCGACUAUCCUUCAUCCUGCGGGUGAUGAUGCAAUUUGAGAGCAAUGCAAUCAUUCCACAUGAUCCAAUCUUGGAUACAACCACAGGAUUAAAGUGGACCCUCAAGCCAGUCCUCAUUUUUAUAUAUUUUUGUUGUCCAUAAAACAAGAGCAGCAGCCUCAUAUUGGUAUGUUUGUGGGUGUAUUGAUCACAAUGAAAAAUCCUUCGUUUUCUUCUUCUUCUGAUGCAAAAAGGAUUAAAAAUAAAACUUUGGUUGCCCUUUGUCUUUGUAGGAUAUGAACGAAUGUUUAAAAAAAGAAGGUUAGGUCAUUAUUAGAUGGUGUCGUUUGUCCUCCGACCAACGCAAGGACAACAUUCAGAUCUUAACUCUGAUAUAAGGGUCAAAAAUCAUCUAAACACAACAAAUGUGGUCACAUUAGAUACCGGAUUAAGGCUUCCUGUGUUCCAGACCUGUUUCCUCAGCAUUUGGUUAUGCAGAUGAAGGAGUGGAAAUAAACUCCCCAGAGAGUCCCUGAGGGGGGAGAGAAGAUAAUGGGGGGUAACUUUGAGUGGAUUGAACAGACCACAGAUGUUCAAAGAAGAAGAAUAACAGAGCAGUGAACGUAAAGGAUCACAUACUGAACUAACAGCCAAGAACUAAGCACUACAACUGCAAACUAAAAUGUGAAAUUGUGAAAUGCAGAACUGUGAAUGCUGACCUGACGUUUUCUCAUCUGGAUUGAUUGACAGGGUUGAUUUUAAUGAUGAUUACCAAAACUAUAGCAACCUUGAUGGUUCGCUCAUAUAUGAUGAUAUUCACCGUUUAAACGUUUGAAGUGUAGCUGACUGAUCGCAAGGGGACCACUGACUUUUGGAUAGUGUUUAUUUCAAACACGAAUCAUGUGUUAUUUGGCUUAAUUUACAUAAUCAAUAUAUCUGGAUAGUUUCAAAUGUACAAAUUAAUCAUUUUUGUUCAGUGGGUCAGAUUUUUAAUGGGACUCAGAAACUAAUAUUGUAAGAUGAAGUGAAAAAUAAGGUCCCAUUAAAGCUGAAUUGAAAGGGAACUAACCCACAUGUUAUCAAAUGUGCAAAAUCAAGAGCAGAUUGAGUUGAUAGUGGGUCCCAGUGGUGGUAUUUUGUCUAAAAGCAAAUAUGUAUUUGUAGAUCCCUUUCAGUCUGAACCCUUUGGAAAUUAGGAGCAGAAGUAAGGUUUGAAAAUCAAAGUCACGACUGCUUGUUGCUACCAGGAUGUAUCAUUACUAAAGCUGCCAUUCCUUUUUUAAAAUUGAAACCAUGAUUUAAAAAGAUAUUUUAAUCUGUAAGGGGCUUUUGAUUGUAUGAUCUAGUUUGAAUAAGAUUAGAUUAAGGUUUUGGAAGUCACCCAAGAAUAGACAGAGUAAAAAAACAAAGUCCCGAAUAUUAUGAACUUGGAAUAAAACUGAAAUCCCUCUUCGCUUUUGGGUUUGGCUGCAAGAGUGUUAGUUGGAAAGGAACAUUCAAUUCAUCGCUUUAGAUGUGUGUCAAGUUUCUUGUAUUAAAGAAUGUUAAAGUUACCAAAAGUACAAAGUGAAAUUAUGUUUACAUAAUACUGAAACUUAAAAUGCAUACUUCAUCGGGGACAGUGGUGACAUAUCACUGAUGGCAAACUACGGUUCUUGCAGACAUGUUAACUGGUGUCUGUUUACUGGCUUAGAUACCACUAGAAGAUUCAGAGCAACACAUCAAACCCCAGACAUUUGAUAUUCAUUUCAAAGAGAUAUUUAAACUGUUUUUGGAAAGUUAAGUUAAUUUAAACUUGACUGUAAAUAAGGACGUUUUAAACCAAACCACUUUUAACUUUUUAGCUUUUGAACUCUGCAAUCACUUUUUUUGUUUUCAAUACACAACUCUGAAUGAAGGGCUAUACUGCUCUCUAUCUCCUGAGAAUGACUAAGAAACAGGUUUUAACAAGAGUCGGCUGUCCUAAAAGGAUAUGGUAUGCCCUUGUUGUUUCUACUUCUUCUGUUUGUACCCUCUAAUUGCUCCCCAAAAUCUGUUGUUAAGAUUUUUAAGACAGAAGAACAGAUACACAGCAAUGACAGACUGAAUCAUUCAUUUAAUGCCUGAAGCCACAAUGAAGAUAACUGAAUAACAUGUCCCCCGUCUCCACCGACCACACCACCCUAGUCCAGUUUAACUUCCUAUUCAGCUGCCCAGGAGACAGCUGGGCAAACACUGACCCGUAUCCUCCUCUGUCUCCGUGAACCCAUAAGCUGACCUCACCCCAUCUAGCUCCCUAUUUAGCCCCCCCUGCACCCUCUGUUGGCCCCUCAGUUUAAGCGGCCCACCUCACCAACUAAGCAACUGGACCUUGUGCCCACCCAGGUCUGCAGUCCCCUGGAGGGAGCGAUGUGUGAGACUCAAGAAUUCACAACACUUAAGAGUUUGGGCAAAUACAGAAGGUCGUUUUACACAACAAGCAGGGUCAGCUUCUUUAGGCAUGACUAGAAAACCAGGCACUGCUGCCAACCCCUUCUCUCUCGCUUUCUUUCCUUUCUUCUUUCUUCUCUUUUUCCAUGUGCUGAAUAUGUAAACGUUUAUUCCCUUGCUUUAUGUUUUCUGCCAUAGUCUGAUGACAGACAGAUGAAGCUUAACUGAACAUAUAGGAUCCCUCUCUUUCAGUUAUUUCUGUAUAGCUUCUCCCUCUCCAUCUCUUGUUCUGUGUUUAACACAGUCACACAAAGACCAAGAACAAACCUCGCCUGAUUUAUUCCCCAGCGAGUACACUCUUUAACCCUUCCAAGGUUCAGGCAGUAUAGGCCUUAUAUAAUCUGUGGAUUACAAAAAUGAUUACAAACAACUAUAGGCUAAAAACACAACUUUGUUUAAAAUGUUCUGCAGAGUUUUAUUUUUAGACUGUGAAGAAGUAUUGUAAGUAAACAGAGUAAACACUUGAGAUGAGAUGAAUCAUUUCUCAAACAUCGGCCUCAGAUAUGAUCGCACAUACUCAGGUGGAGAAUCAUCAUCCUACUAUGUUGUAGCUAUCAUUACUAUGAACUGCCUGAUCUGAGUGAUGCUCACUCUGCAUUUGCUUAAUGUUCAGUUACAGAUAUGGCAACCCCACCCUAGACAAACCACAAUGGCUCCAUAGCGCCCCCGACAAAAUUUCAAAAAUUAAGCCCCUCCCUUGUGUGUGACUUACAGCUAUGGAAUCUGGGACGCUUAUGAAGAACCUUGAGGAAGACCAUAUCAAAAAAAUCCUCUGUUUAUGUCAAAGGGCGUGGCCAUGACGUCCUUUCAAACUCUGAUGUCUUUUCACUGUGAAUGACCUACAACACUCAAAGGCAGUCACAAGUACCAACCAUCAUAAAGGUAAGUGCUGCUGUGGAGAGCAUUGCACCACAGAUGGCAGGUGGUGUGAAAUGUUGGCAGUGCGCUGGGGAGGUGGUUUAUGGAGGUAGCGCCACGACACUGCCCAGGCUUCUAAAUUUUUCUGAUGCUACAGGACAUAUCAUGAUAAAACUUAGUGCGAAAUUGCAUUUCUGAGUAUUUCUGCAUUCCAAUAGUAGUGAACCUUUCACAGACCCAAACAGCAGCUUCAGACACAAUGAGAUUUCCUAUGUCACAACUGCAAGCUCCGCCCCCCAAGCCCUGCUAUGAAGGCCACAUUUGGAAAAGUAGAGGUGACAAUCACGGAACAAGCAUGUGCAUUAGAAUUAAGAAAGCUAAUUAUGAUAUUAGCUGUCAUCGUGUCCCUAAAGAAAUUAGUGCUCAAGAGCUAAAUAGCUCCUAUGUUAGUUUCUUCUACUGCACCGCCAAUGUUAGGCCGCAAGCUAACUCAGGGAGAAGUGAGCAGAGCAGAGCUGUCACUGCCCAUGACUCAGAGGCGAAUUGCUAAUGAGCUACUAGAGCUCUGCAGAAGAAAAGCCAUUGAAAAUAACACAGGUAACGUGAUUUUGGCUAAAAACGUCAUAAUCACAAGACCACUGAUAAUGCUUUAAGUAGUAAAAAAAAUGAUCGGAGUGGGACUUUAAACUCUCAGGACCAGGAGAAGCUGAGUUCACCUGCGCAGAGCUAUGGAAGACAAAAAUGGAAAGAAAGACACAAGCAACAUACAGACGUAGAAGUUGUUUGUCUUUCAAAUGUUGCGGAGUAAGAGUAACAAGUUUCCUGAUAAAAUAAUACUCAAGUGAAGUACUUACACAAGGUGUAAUUUAGUGCAGCACUCUGGUAAAUGUACUUUGUUAGUGUCCUUCACUGACUAUCACUUACUUUAUUGAACAGGAGGAUAUAGUAGCUUACUCAUCAGCCUCUUUAUAGGACCUCUGUGUGGUUGGUCAGUUAUAAAGGCAGGUUUUCUUUUAGUACUUCAUAUUGAUCUACGAAAAUCUACAAACUGGAAACAAUGGUCAAAGGAUCUAAAUCUUGAUCUUGCCAAGUAGAGGUAAAGUUGAUAACCAGACACCAAAAAUUCUAAAUUGCCAGUUUUUUAAAAUCUGUUUGUGGUGGACCGAAACUUACUGAUGCUUUUUUAAGACGUACAAAAGCAAACAAAACCAUCAGCAAUGAGACUGACUGUGUAUGUGCUGUAAUUUUUAAUGUCAAAGAGUUUUUAGCCAAGCAGCUGAGGAAUGUUUUCCAAAUUGAACAUUCACCUGCUUUGUCCACAGAGAUGCCAGAAUUAACACAAACUGAAA